UACGUAGGGGGCUAGCGUUGUCCGGAUUUAUUGGGCGUAAAGAGCGUGUAGGCGGCCAGAUAGGUCCGUUGUGAAAACUCGAGGCUUAACCUCGAGCUGUCGGCGGAAACCAUCUGGCUAGAGUCCGGAAGAGGAGAAUGGAAUUCCCGGUGUAGCGGUGAAAUGCGCAGAUAUCGGGAAGAACACCCGUGGCGAAGGCGGUUCUCUGGGACGGUACUGACGCUGAGACGCGAAAGCGUGGGGAGCGAACAGG
This 253-nucleotide ribosomal RNA is filed under the name uncultured bacterium. RNAcentral's name for it is "partial 16S ribosomal RNA". It matches the Rfam family "Bacterial small subunit ribosomal RNA", at positions 524 to 776 of the family's 1533-position model. The record is from RNAcentral.